CCAUACUUCUUUGCUAUCCCAUA
This 23-nucleotide microRNA is filed under the name Magallana gigas (Pacific oyster). RNAcentral describes it as "Mgi-Mir-1_5p* (star (passenger))". The record is from RNAcentral. Lineage: Eukaryota; Metazoa; Mollusca; Bivalvia; Ostreida; Ostreidae.